CGGUCCAAGGAGCGUUGCAACGCGGCACCCUGCUGCGUCAGGCUUGGGCCAGGCGCCGGCAAAGACACGCCGCCGCGCCCUGCCGACAACGACGCUCACCUGUU
Molecule: non-coding RNA, 104 nt
Filed under: Acidovorax delafieldii
Lineage: Bacteria; Pseudomonadati; Pseudomonadota; Betaproteobacteria; Burkholderiales; Comamonadaceae
Also listed under: 1 other name
Description: SAH sequence
Rfam family: SAH (S-adenosyl-L-homocysteine) riboswitch aptamer
Source: RNAcentral